Molecule: ribosomal RNA, 158 nt
Filed under: Helotiales sp. R18
Lineage: Eukaryota; Fungi; Ascomycota; Leotiomycetes; Helotiales
Description: 5.8S ribosomal RNA
Rfam family: 5.8S ribosomal RNA
About the family: 5.8S ribosomal RNA (5.8S rRNA) is a component of the large subunit of the eukaryotic ribosome. It is transcribed by RNA polymerase I as part of the 45S precursor that also contains 18S and 28S rRNA.
Source: RNAcentral
UAACUUUCAACAACGGAUCUCUUGCUUCUGGCAUCGAUGAAGAACGCAGCGAAAUGCGAUAAGUAAUGUGAAUUGCAGAAUUCAGUGAAUCAUCGAAUCUUUGAACGCACAUUGCGGGCCUUGGUAUUCCGAGGGGCAUGCCUGUUCGAGCGUCAUUA